Molecule: non-coding RNA, 502 nt
Organism: Myodes glareolus (Bank vole)
Lineage: Eukaryota; Metazoa; Chordata; Mammalia; Rodentia; Cricetidae
Source: RefSeq, a predicted model, not a curated record
CGGGAAAUGAGAGCUUCUUCGUAUUUUCUGGGAUUGUGCACAAAUGCUGAUUGUCAAAUCCCCACCUAGACACACAUGACAUGGUUCAGUAUAUCUGUCCUUAUGUUGAAGUCCUUGAACCAGAAAAGCCAUAGGAGCCAUGAUGAUCAACAAGGGAGGAAGAGGAAAAGGAAAAAGUGUGAGGUAUGACGGCUAAAGAAACCGCCUUUUAUGUCAGGCAUCCAUCUUGGGGUCAUGAGCUCCAUACAUUUGGAUGUCCCAGUGUGAUCCAUGGGAGAGUCUAGACUCAGGGUCAAGGGUCUGUGGUAGGCCCCAGAGGAGCAAGUCCAAGGUGGACUUGACAGGCCCACAGGAUCCCAAACUUCAGUCUUCAGGAAGACUUGCAGGCCAGUGUGCUUCUGAAGUGCUGACUGAUCGGUGAGUUACUCUGUUCUGUUUUAGAAUCUGUACCUUUGGAGAGACAAAAGCAAGACCGGGCAUGAUUGUAGACCCAUUCUUUGGG